UCUGGGAUGGGUAGAAUCUGCUAGCAGAAAGGAAGUUCUUCAAGUGAUUGCUCAUAUCAAUUCAAGCUGCAAAUUUUCAAGCCUCUCUCCUCUAUCCUGAAGGCUAUCUCAGAUAAGGCGGCAAAAAAAAAAAAAACAACGCACGUGCAAUGAAAUGUUCUCUGAGAUCAUGCAAUGAAAGAGCUCAUCUGAAUGUGUGGAAGGACACAUCAUCACAGUAAAGGAAAGUGGCCAAUGAACAUGAGGACAGGAGGAAUGAUCGAGAUGAGAAGUGGCGGCAGGAAUAUCAGAGGAGGCAGGAUGCAACGCUGGGGCUACUGCAGGAUCAAAAGGACAUGCUCCAGCAUCUGGUGGAGCUUCAGGAAUGGCAGGAGGAUCACAGAGUGCUGCUACAGCCCUCGUUUAACCGCCCUCUCCCCUCACCAAGUUCCAUAGCCUCCUCAUCCAGACACCCAAGAAUGCGAGGGGAGGAGGGGGGCUCCAUGCACCCUGCCACUCCACCCCAGUGGACAGCCCAAGCAACAGAAGACUCAUUCAACAAGUUUUGAAGUGGCCUUUUCCUUCCCUCCUCCCACACCCCACCCUAUUUUUAUAAUCAAUUAAUAAAGAAUACAUGAUUUUUAAA
Gopherus flavomarginatus (Mexican gopher tortoise) is the source of this 625-nucleotide long non-coding RNA. RefSeq lists it as uncharacterized. The record is from RefSeq and is a predicted model, not a curated record. NCBI's taxonomy places the organism in Eukaryota, Metazoa, Chordata, Testudines, Testudinidae. The transcript is spliced from 2 exons.